RNAcentral lists this ribosomal RNA (379 nucleotides) under uncultured bacterium. Its description in RNAcentral is "bacterial SSU rRNA". It matches the Rfam family "Bacterial small subunit ribosomal RNA", at positions 9 to 405 of the family's 1533-position model. The record is from RNAcentral.
GAGUUUGAUCAUGGCUCAGGAUGAACGCUGGCGACGUGCCUAAUGCAUGCAAGUCGCACGCAGUGCCUUCGGGUAUUGAGUGGCGGACGGCUGAGGAACACGUGGGUAUCUGCCUGGCAGUGGGGGAUAACGGGCCGAAAGGUCCGCUAAACCCGCAUACGUUCCCCUUUAUCGGGGAAGAAAGCAGCAAUGCGCUGCCAGAGGAGCCUGCGGCCCAUCAGAUAGUUGGCGGGUAAUGGCCCUCAAGUCGAUGACGGGUCCCUGGUCUGAGAGGACGACCAGGCAGACUGGGACUGAGACACGGCCCAGACUCCUACGGAGGCAGCAGCAAGGAAUUUCGGCAAUGGGCGCAAGCCCUGACCGAGCAACGUCGCGUGGA